GAGUUUGAUCAUGGCUCAGAAUGAACGCUGGCGGCAUGCCUAACACAUGCAAGUCGAACGAAGGCUUCGGCCUUAGUGGCGCACGGGUGCGUAACGCGUGGGAAUCUACCCUUGGGUUCGGAAUAACUCAGAGAAAUUUGAGCUAAUACCGGAUGAUGUCGCAAGACCAAAGAUUUAUCGCCCAAGGAUGAGCCCGCGUAGGAUUAGCUAGUUGGUGGGGUAAAGGCCCACCAAGGCGACGAUCCUUAGCUGGUCUGAGAGGAUGAUCAGCCACACUGGGACUGAGACACGGCCCAGACUCCUACGGGAGGCAGCAGUGGGGAAUAUUGGACAAUGGGCGAAAGCCUGAUCCAGCAAUGCCGCGUGAGUGAUGAAGGCCUUAGGGUGUAAAGCUCUUUUACCCGGGAUGAUAAUGACAGUACCGGGAGAAUAAGCUCCGGCUAACUCCGUGCCAGCCGCCGCCGUAAG
Molecule: ribosomal RNA, 468 nt
Filed under: uncultured Alphaproteobacteria bacterium
Lineage: Bacteria; Pseudomonadati; Pseudomonadota; Alphaproteobacteria
Description: bacterial SSU rRNA
Rfam family: Bacterial small subunit ribosomal RNA
Source: RNAcentral